Molecule: ribosomal RNA, 304 nt
Filed under: uncultured Candidatus Lariskella sp.
Lineage: Bacteria; Pseudomonadati; Pseudomonadota; Alphaproteobacteria; Rickettsiales; Candidatus Midichloriaceae
Description: bacterial SSU rRNA
Rfam family: Bacterial small subunit ribosomal RNA
Source: RNAcentral
GGCUAACUUCGUGCCAGCAGCCGCGGUAAUACGAAGGGAGCUAGCGUUACUCGGAAUUAUUGGGCGUAAAGCGUACGUAGGCGGCUUAGUAAGUUGGGAGUGAAAUCCUUGGGCUUAACCCAAGAAUUGCUUUCAAAACUACUAAGCUAGAGUAUCAGAGGGGAUGGCGGAAUUCCUAGUGUAGAGGUGAAAUUCGUAGAUAUUAGGAGGAACACCGGUGGCGAAAGCGGCCAUCUGGCUGAUUACUGACGCUGUUGUACGAAAGCGUGGGGAGCAAACAGGAUUAGAUACCCUGGUAGUCCAC